This 154-nucleotide ribosomal RNA is filed under the name Agroathelia rolfsii. RNAcentral describes it as "Athelia rolfsii 5.8S rRNA". It matches the Rfam family "5.8S ribosomal RNA". From Rfam's summary of the family: 5.8S ribosomal RNA (5.8S rRNA) is a component of the large subunit of the eukaryotic ribosome. Lineage: Eukaryota; Fungi; Basidiomycota; Agaricomycetes; Amylocorticiales; Amylocorticiaceae. The record is from RNAcentral.
CAACUUUCAACAACGGAUCUCUUGGCUCUUGCAUCGAUGAAGAACGCAGCGAAAUGCGAUAAGUAAUGUGAAUUGCAGAAUCCAGUGAAUCAUCGAAUCUUUGAACGCACCUUGCGCCCUUUGGUAUCCCGAGGGGCAUGCCUGUUUGAGAGUC